RNAcentral lists this ribosomal RNA (434 nucleotides) under uncultured Lachnospiraceae bacterium. Its description in RNAcentral is "bacterial SSU rRNA". It matches the Rfam family "Bacterial small subunit ribosomal RNA", at positions 341 to 792 of the family's 1533-position model. The record is from RNAcentral. Lineage: Bacteria; Bacillati; Bacillota; Clostridia; Lachnospirales; Lachnospiraceae.
ACGGGAGGCAGCAGUGGGGAAUAUUGCGCAAUGGGGGAAACCCUGACGCAGCAACGCCGCGUGAGUGAAGAAGUAUUUCGGUAUGUAAAGCUCUAUCAGCGGGGACGAAGAUGACGGUACCCGCAGAAGAAGUCCCGGCUAACUACGUGCCAGCAGCCGCGGUAAUACGUAGGGGACAAGCGUUAUCCGGAUUUACUGGGUGUAAAGGGAGCGUAGGCGGCCAGACAAGUCAGAAGUGAAAGCCCGCGGCUCAACUGCGGGACUGCUUUUGAAACUGCCAGGCUAGAGUACUGGAGGGGCAAGCGGAAUUCCUGGUGUAGCGGUGAAAUGCGUAGAUAUUAGGAGGAACACCAGUGGCGAAGGCGGCUUACUGGACGGUAACUGACGUUGAGGCUCGAAAGCGUGGGGAGCAAACAGGAUUAGAUACCCUGGUA